CAUAAGGGACACUAGACAUCCACCACCCUACUACCAUUAUCAUAUUAGAGCCAUAAGGGACACUAGGAAUCUACCACCCCACUACCAUUAUCAUAUUAGAGCCAUAAGGGACACUAGACAUCCACCACCCUACUACCACUAUCAUAUUAGAGCCAUAAGGGACACUAGGAAUCUACCACCCCACUACCACUAUCAGAUUAGAGCCAUAAGGGACACUAGGAAUCUACCACCCCACUACCACUAUCAGAUUAGAGCCAUAAGGGACCCUAGGAAUCUACCACGCCACUACCACUAUCAGAUUAGAGCCAUAAGGGACACUAGGAAUCUGCCACCCCACUACCACUAUCAGAUUAGAGCCAUAAGGGACACUAGGAAUCUACCACCCCACUACCACUAUCAGAUUAGAGCCAUAAGGGACACUAGACAUCCACCAACCUACUACCAUUAUCAUAUUAGAGCCAUAAUGGACAUUAGGAAUCCACAACAAAACUAUCACGAUCAGGUAAGAGCCAUAAUGGACCCUAGGAAUCUACCACCCCACUACCACUAUCAGAUUAGAGCAAUAAGGGACACUAGGAAUCUACCACCCCACUACCACUAUCAGAUUAGAGCCAUAAGGGACACUAGGAAUCUGCCACCCCACUACCACUAUCAGAUUAGAGCCAUAAGGGACACUAGGAAUCUACCACCCCACUACCACUAUCAGAUUAGAGCCAUAAGGGACACUAGGAAUCUGCCACCCUACUACCAUUAUCAUAUUAGAGCCAUAAGGG
This is a long non-coding RNA of Oncorhynchus tshawytscha (Chinook salmon), 773 nucleotides long. NCBI's taxonomy places the organism in Eukaryota, Metazoa, Chordata, Actinopteri, Salmoniformes, Salmonidae. The record is from Ensembl.